RNAcentral lists this long non-coding RNA (1488 nucleotides) under Calidris pugnax (ruff). RNAcentral describes it as "lncRNA (ENSCPUG00000018463.1)". The record is from RNAcentral. Lineage: Eukaryota; Metazoa; Chordata; Aves; Charadriiformes; Scolopacidae.
UGUGAAUGAACUAAUGACACCUACUUACAGGCAGUAUUGUGAAGAUUAAUUAAUUGACAUUAUUGAAGUAUCCUGAGGUGGAAUUCCUAAUAGACCAACCACAUUCCUGAAUGACGCGAUACACUUUCUGUUGUUGCAAAUCCUGGAGAGGAAUGAAAAAGAAGUCUUUGCUCAGCCUGUGGAAGCUUGGAAGCUCCAUCAUGGGAGUCAGCAGAGCCUGCCGUUUCCCGGCCACCGCAGGACUUCUAGUGUUUUCACAGGUAACACUUUUAUUUCGCAGAGAGUCGUAUAGAAAGCUCCUGUUCUUCUUUGCCCAGCCUCUCUACUACCUUUCACCUCUCAGUUCAUGGCAGUUCACAGACAAGCUGCAGCAGGUGAGUUGGGCAAGGAGAUGGUGAGGAUUUGACCUGAUGCACUGAAGCAAUCAGAGUAUCGAAAGUCCUGGUGCAUCCUAAGCUGCUCAAAUCAAUGUGAGCUUUCUUUCUGACCUCAGUGGAUCUAGGAUUUUCCUGCCAUGUACAUUUGCUGCCUGGACAGCAAGUAAAGGUUUCUUUGCCUGUGUGAUUAGGCUCAUAAGUCUUCACAGAGGAGGCAUGUUCUGUGUGGCUGAUAACUUCGGGAAUGUGUGUUGUCUCUAGUCAGAAACAUGCUUUUCCUGUUGUGAAGGCUAUUCAAGUUAUCUGUAUAUAAUAUCAUGAGCUGGAAAAGAAAGGGGAUUUGUGCCCUUUGAAGAAGCUCCUCCAGAUUCUUUUCUGCCUCUCUUCAGUGUGAUGCACCAGUAUUUACAUUCUUUUCUAUCUCUCUUUUUUUUUUUUUUUCCCUACUUGCUCCUUUCUUCCAGGCAGUUAGAGUCUGGCUUUGGUCUUGCUGCUGGAUGCAAGUUUUUGUUUCAAUGUGUAACUGGAUUUUUUGGUUCUGGUGCAGAAGCCAGGCUGUCUCACAGCGGCUCCUCUUUGCAUUAGACCCUGGCAGGUCUCUCCUGCACUGAUGCACUUAUUAAAAGCUUAGUUAUUUAUUCAUUUCCUCUUCACUAUCUUUAGGUAUAUGCCAGGACUUGGAAAUGAUCAGUCAUGUUUUUUUCAUGUUGCCUUGCUCUUUUUGUUCUCUUUUAUCAGUAUAGAAACCCAUGGUGUUGGUACAGGACUUAUUCCCAAAAAACAAUGUUUCCAACCCAUUUAUCUGUACAACUUACUUUUUUGGAUUUUGGAUUUUCCGCUAACAUUGAAGACUCCAGGCCCUUUCUUUCUGCCUUACUGACAUCAAAAUAUAGCAAAACUUUUCCAUUUACAGAACUGACUGAUUUACCUGACUUUUUUCAUUGCUAUGGGAAUGUUUACAAAAACUAGUCCAUUUUCAAUUAUUGCUUGUAUUAUUGUAUGUUGUCUAUAUACCUGCCUUAUUUUUUUUCUUUUACUACUUGUCACCCUCUUAGAUGAAAAUAUUUUGGAAAGCAAUAAAACUAACCUGUUACAAUAGGGCCUAUUUGUG